Molecule: long non-coding RNA, 344 nt
Filed under: Mus musculus (house mouse)
Lineage: Eukaryota; Metazoa; Chordata; Mammalia; Rodentia; Muridae
Description: predicted gene 45830
Source: RNAcentral
UCCAGACAGAACCUCAUCUAAAAAUAAAUUCAGUGAUAAGAACUUAUUUGCUAUUUUGUUCCUAAUGAACAACAACAACAACAAGAAGACACCCAAACCAAUAUUUACAUCUAUGACACUUUUGCCUCCUUUGGGCUUCUGGAUUGUGUGUCUUCAUAGACAUCUCUGGACCUGGAAGCUAUAACUAUAACUGGAAGCCAUCCUAUAACUUGAUGAAGACAGAAGAGGGAAGGGAAGGUGCCCGAGAUGAAGAUACACUGAGGUUAAAUAUUCACCAGCUUACUUGAAUGAUGAUAUUUAAAAGAUGAACAUAGAAAAAAUUGAGACAAUAUUGACUACUCCAG